UCUUGAUUAUGUUGCUCAGCUGAUU
This 25-nucleotide small RNA is filed under the name Arabidopsis thaliana (thale cress). RNAcentral's name for it is "ATSL181720". The record is from RNAcentral. Lineage: Eukaryota; Viridiplantae; Streptophyta; Magnoliopsida; Brassicales; Brassicaceae.